CAGUCGCCGCGGGAAUACCGAGGGUGCAAGCGUUAAUCGGAAUUACUGGGCGUAAAGCGCGCGUAGGUGGUUUGUUAAGUUGAAUGUGAAAUCCCCGGGCUCAACCUGGGAACUGCAUCCAAAACUGGCAAGCUAGAGUAGGGCAGAGGGUGGUGGAAUUUCCUGUGUAGCGGUGAAAUGCGUAGAUAUAGGAAGGAACACCAGUGGCGAAGGCGACCACCUGGGCUCAUACUGACACUGAGGUGCGAAAGCGUGGGGAGCAAACAGGAUUAGAUACCCCCGUAGUCCCUGUCUCUUAUAC
This 301-nucleotide ribosomal RNA is filed under the name uncultured bacterium. RNAcentral describes it as "partial 16S ribosomal RNA". It matches the Rfam family "Bacterial small subunit ribosomal RNA", at positions 509 to 807 of the family's 1533-position model. The record is from RNAcentral.